Molecule: small RNA, 750 nt
Filed under: Pan troglodytes (chimpanzee)
Lineage: Eukaryota; Metazoa; Chordata; Mammalia; Primates; Hominidae
Description: retained intron
Source: RNAcentral
AUGGUGGCAGGGAAGGCCUCAUUGAGGCGACACUGGAGUGAAAUUUGAAGGUCAUGGCAUGAACCAUGUGACCAAGGAAGCAGCAAACAAACCCUGAGGCAGCAACAGCAACUCACCACCAGCCUUGGGCCCAGAAGCAUGCCCUGUCUCCCUGCCCAGUCCCCCGGAAGCCCCCACACUCAAGGGCCCUCAACCUGAGGCAGAUCUUCCUAGGAGCCCUGGCAACUUGACGGAGAGAGAAGAGCUGGCAGGGAGCCUGGCCCGGGCUAUUGCAGGUGGAGACGAGAAGGGGGCAGCCCAAGUGGCAGCCGUCCUGGCCCAGCAUCGUGUGGCCCUGAGUGUUCAGCUUCAGGAGGCCUGCUUCCCACCUGGCCCCAUCAGGCUGCAGGUCACACUUGAAGACGCUGCCUCUGCCGCAUCCGCCGCGUCCUCUGCACACGUUGCCCUGCAGGUCCACCCCCACCGCACCGUUGCAGCUCUCCAGGAGCAGGUGGGCACAGGGUCUGGGGAGCCCUGCCAGGGGCAGAGGAGCCUAGGUGACAUCACCUGCCCUGAUGCUCUGACCACAGGUGUUCUCAGAGCUCGGUUUCCCGCCAGCCGUGCAACGCUGGGUCAUCGGACGGUGCCUGUGUGUGCCUGAGCGCAGCCUUGCCUCUUACGGGGUUCAGCAGGAUGGGGACCCUGCUUUCCUCUACUUGCUGUCAGCUCCUCGAGAAGCCCCAGGUCAGUCCUCGAUGGGGGUGGGGUGUG